This 253-nucleotide ribosomal RNA is filed under the name uncultured bacterium. RNAcentral's name for it is "partial 16S ribosomal RNA". It matches the Rfam family "Bacterial small subunit ribosomal RNA", at positions 524 to 776 of the family's 1533-position model. The record is from RNAcentral. RNAcentral also lists the same sequence under 1 other name.
UACGGGGGGGGCAAGCGUUGUUCGGAAUUACUGGGCGUAAAGGGCGCGUAGGCGGCCUUCUAAGUCAGACGUGAAAUCCCCAGGCUUAACUUGGGAACUGCGUCUGAUACUGGAUGGCUUGAGUGCGGGAGAGGGAUGUGGAAUUCCAGGUGUAGCGGUGAAAUGCGUAGAUAUCUGGAGGAACACCGGUGGCGAAGGCGGCAUCCUGGACCGACACUGACGCUGAUGCGCGAAAGCCAGGGGAGCAAACGGG